Alosa sapidissima (American shad) is the source of this 229-nucleotide long non-coding RNA. RefSeq lists it as uncharacterized. The transcript has 3 exons. NCBI's taxonomy places the organism in Eukaryota, Metazoa, Chordata, Actinopteri, Clupeiformes, Clupeidae. The record is from RefSeq and is a predicted model, not a curated record.
UGUUGGUUGCUAGGAAGGUGGUGGUUUAAUAUAGUUGGAAUGGCUGAACAGUUAAAUAGGUGGAUAGUUUAACCCAUUCGUGCUGGAUGCUGCAUGACGCAACAUUCUAUCUCCCCACAUUCUAUAGCGCAGCAUUGACUCUCCCGCUGGUUGCUGCAUAGCGCAGCAUGCUUUUUAUUUCAUGUUUCUAGGUGUACAGAGGCUUAGAUAUUAAGGGGACAGUCCACCA